RNAcentral lists this transfer RNA (67 nucleotides) under Marmota monax (woodchuck). Its description in RNAcentral is "tRNA.Val". The record is from RNAcentral. Lineage: Eukaryota; Metazoa; Chordata; Mammalia; Rodentia; Sciuridae.
GGUUGUGACUCAGUGGUAGAACACUUGCCUUACAUGUAUGAGACACUGGGUUCGAUCCCUGGCACCA